UACGGAGGGUGCGAGCGUUAAUCGGAAUUACUGGGCGUAAAGCGUGCGUAGGCGGUUCGUUAAGUCAGAUGUGAAAGCCCUGGGCUCAACCCGGGAACGGCAUUUGAAACUGGCGGACUAGAGUUUAGUAGAGGGGAGUGGAAUUUCAGGUGUAGCGGUGAAAUGCGUAGAUAUCUGAAGGAACACCAGUGGCGAAGGCGACUCCCUGGACUAGAACUGACGCUGAGAUACAAAGGCGUGGGUAGCAAAAAGGAUUAGAUACCCUGGUGGUCAACGCCGUAAACGAUGUCAACUAGCCGUGGGUCCUAUUUACAGGAUUAGGGGCGCAGCUAACGCAUUAAGUUGACCGCCUGGGGAGUACGGCCGCAAGGUUA
RNAcentral lists this ribosomal RNA (374 nucleotides) under uncultured prokaryote. RNAcentral's name for it is "bacterial SSU rRNA". It matches the Rfam family "Bacterial small subunit ribosomal RNA", at positions 524 to 896 of the family's 1533-position model. The record is from RNAcentral.